This 1227-nucleotide ribosomal RNA is filed under the name Triticum aestivum (bread wheat). Its description in RNAcentral is "partial small subunit ribosomal RNA". Lineage: Eukaryota; Viridiplantae; Streptophyta; Magnoliopsida; Poales; Poaceae. The record is from RNAcentral.
AUGUUACGACAUCCAGUGUGGGGAGCCAUCUGCUUGCUCGCCGUCUUGCUGGUCCUGUGCACAGACAAGCUCUGCACGGACGCCAGGCCGUCCGCCUACGCGCUCCUGGUCGACGACGACGACGAGGACGACGGCGACGGCUCCGGCUCGUCGUCUUUCUCCUUCUCCUCCCCGCACGAGACGCCGGACGAACUGGCAUUCGGGUUCUACGACGGGACAUGCCCCAGCGCCGAGGCGAUCGUCGCGUCCACCGUGCGGGAGCUCUUCGCGGCCGACGCCAACGUCGCCGCCGCGCUCGUCCGCCUCUUCUUUCACGACUGCUUCGUCCACGUAAGUACGAACCGAACUCCGUGUUCUGCAGAUCAAGAUAUCUCUUCUGCCUGCACGCGCGCGCUCACGUACGCACACGGCAAGACGCUGUGCUCUGUUUUCUUUUCGUCCCUGGACGCGCCGUUGCAGGGCUGCGACGCCUCGGUGCUCCUGGACCGGAUCGGCGGCGGCAAGUCGGAGAGGGACGCCGCCCCGAACCGCUCGCUGCGAGGCUUCGGCGCCGUCGACAAAAUUAAGGCGAGACUGGAGAAGCAGUGCCCGGGGACCGUCUCCUGCGCCGACAUCCUGGCGCUGGCCGCGCGGGACAGCCUCGUACUGGUGGGCGGGCCGACCUACCCAGUGCUCACCGGCCGCCGAGACAGCGCCGGGAGCUUCUACGACGACGUGAACAUCCCGGCGCCGAACGCCACCUACGCCAUGACGCUCAGCGCGUUCGCCCGCCGCGGCUUCACCGAGCGCGAGACCGUCGCGCUCUUAGGAGCACAUAGCAUCGGGAAGGUGCAGUGCAGAUUCUUCAGGGACAGGAUCUACAACUUCGCCGGGACCGGCGAGCCGGACGACUCCCUGGACGCGGACAUGGUCGGCGAGAUGCGGGCCGUGUGCAGCGGAGACGGCGCGGCGCCGAUGGAGAUGGGGUACUACCGGCAGGGCCGGGAAGUGGGGUUCGGCGCGCACUACUACGCGAAGCUCCUCGCGGGGCGGGGCAUCCUGCGCUCGGACCAGCAGCUCACGGCGGGGAGCACCGUGCGGUGGGUGCGCGCGUACGCGGCCGGGCAUCGCGGCGAGGAGGCUUUCCGCGAGGACUUCGCGCACGCCAUGGUUAAGCUGUCCGCGCUUGCGCCGCUCAAAGGGUCGGCCGGGCAGGUCCGGGUCAGCUGCUCCAAGUCCGUUGAGUAG